This is a long non-coding RNA of Thamnophis elegans (Western terrestrial garter snake), 1503 nucleotides long. RefSeq lists it as uncharacterized. The transcript is spliced from 3 exons. The record is from RefSeq and is a predicted model, not a curated record. Lineage: Eukaryota; Metazoa; Chordata; Lepidosauria; Squamata; Natricidae.
UUAAGAUUUCUACUUUUAUUCAAUGUCAAAAUAUAAAUAAUUACAAUUCAGUUUUAAACAUUAUCUUAAAUUCAGACUUUAUAGCUUUAUAUUAUCCAAUUUUUUUGAAACAGCCGUUUCAAAAGCCCAAAGUCAACAAGGAUCAUGUGGUCACUAUCUUUGCAAGGCAUGAUAAGCUGAAACUCUUCAUAAAUCAACCACUUCCAACUUUGUGGAAUAUAAUUUAACAUUAACCUCUAUAGGCCUUGUUUUCCAAGAACCUGAGUAGGAAUAAUGUUUAACCAAUUAGGAAACACCAAUGGAGAAUUGCAGGAGGUACAAAGUUAAAGCUACUUGCAAAGAAAGACAUUCUUUUCCAUUGAGUAGCCUAAUAAUCUCCCCCUAAAUAUAUUUUAUUGCAUUAAGCAAGUGCCCCAUUAACUGUUUCUUGAGCACAUGAAUGUACAGUCCUCACCAAUUCUUGGAGCACCUGGAAGAUGGUUUCCUGCUCCGCUUCAAAAAUUGUCUUUUUCAGCUUCAGACUUCAAUUCAAGGUCAGUCAUUCCUAUAUAGGUUUUGAGGUAGGGACUUUUUCUGGUGAUACUGUCCAUCUGGGACUCUUUGCAGCGGCCUCUUGCCUCAUCCCAUUCCAGAUUUUCUGUUGAAAUUGAUGGCUGGAGCAAUAGAAUCAAAGUCUUCCCACUGCAAUAUAAGACUCUCUGUCCCUUUGCCCCAUUUUUUUUUUGCCAACCCAUGGAUAAUAUGAGAAUAUGAGAAGGGGAGGCAGUGUAGAAGCAAAUCAUUUUAGUGUUGAUUCAUUGAACCUCCUCCCAUCUGCUUUCAUUUGAUUCCCUUCCUGCAGUGAAUAGAGAAGUGGGAGAAAGGGCUUCUCAGCAGCCACCUGCACUAAGACCAAAGCAGCUUUAUUAUAAAAGAUGAGAAUUUGUGACCUUCCCAGGGCAGCUGAACUACAGACCACCACAAUCACAGGAAGCAUAGCCUAAGUGAAAGAGGCGGAUAGAUUGAAUCCAACAAUUUCUGCAAAUACAAAAGAAUCCUGUCCAUUCAUCUAUGCAGCUAAUCCACUAUGUUGAACAUCUCUUCCCAUCACCUGAAGAAGAGAGAAGGCUUACCAAACUCUUCUCCUUUCUCUCCCAACCCUUGUACCAGUGUCAGUUGUAACACCUACUGGUACAGAGGAUGGAAGGGGAAGUGGUUCAGGGGUUUUACACCAGAAUUUAUGUAUUUUCCAGCUUGGAUGAUCUCUCUAAACCUAAGAAAAAGACCAUCGGCAACAGCUUCCUGCCCUUCAUCCAGUACUGAAAGCAGAUAGCCUGAAACUAUCGGGGGUGGGGGUGGGGGGUGGGACUGUUUCUUUUAUUACGAUAGCUGCUUUUUAGCUUUCAACUGCCUGGCAAAAAUGUCUCUUGUUGCUUUCAUAUAGUCCCUUGUUUGAAAUACUAUCAACUAGAAAAAUAAAUGUUUCUUUGUCUGAAGCAAAUAAAACUUAAAAGAUGUUGAUUA